RNAcentral lists this ribosomal RNA (492 nucleotides) under uncultured bacterium. Its description in RNAcentral is "partial 16S ribosomal RNA". It matches the Rfam family "Bacterial small subunit ribosomal RNA", at positions 29 to 507 of the family's 1533-position model. The record is from RNAcentral.
AGUGAACGCUGGCGGUAGGCCUAACACAUGCAAGUCGAACGGCAGCACAGUAAGAGCUUGCUCUUACGGGUGGCGAGUGGCGGACGGGUGAGGAAUACAUCGGAAUCUACUUUUUCGUGGGGGAUAACGUAGGGAAACUUACGCUAAUACCGCAUACGACCUACGGGUGAAAGCAGGGGAUCUUCGGACCUUGCGCGAAUGAAUGAGCCGAUGUCGGAUUAGCUAGUUGGCGGGGUAAAGGCCCACCAAGGCGACGAUCCGUAGCUGGUCUGAGAGGGUGAUCAGCCACACUGGAACUGAGACACGGUCCAGACUCCUACGGGAGGCAGCAGUGGGGAAUAUUGGACAAUGGGCGCAAGCCUGAUCCAGCCAUACCGCGUGGGUGAAGAAGGCCUUCGGGUUGUAAAGCCCUUUUGUUGGGAAAGAAAAGCAGCAGGUUAAUACCCCGCUGUUCUGACGGUACCCAAAGAAUAAGCACCGGCUAACUUCGUG